UGAGGGAUAUUGGGCAAUGGGGGCAACCCUGACCCAGCGACGCCGCGUGAGGGAAGACGGUCUUCGGAUUGUAAACCUCUGUCUUUGGGGACGAAGAAGGACGGUACCCAAGGAGGAAGCUCCGGCUAACUACGUGCCAGCAGCCGCGGUAAUACGUAGGGAGCGAGCGUUGUCCGGAAUUACUGGGUGUAAAGGGAGCGUAGGCGGGAAGGCAAGUUGGAUGUGAAAACUGUGGGCUCAACCUACAGACUGCAUUCAAAACUGUUUUUCUUGAGUGAAGUAGAGGCAAGCGGAAUUCCUAGUGUAGCGGUGAAAUGCGUAGAUAUUAGGAGGAACACCAGUGGCGAAGGCGGCUUGCUGGGCUUUUACUGACGCUGAGGCUCGAAAGUGUGGGGAGCAAACAGG
This 405-nucleotide ribosomal RNA is filed under the name uncultured prokaryote. Its description in RNAcentral is "bacterial SSU rRNA". It matches the Rfam family "Bacterial small subunit ribosomal RNA", at positions 355 to 776 of the family's 1533-position model. The record is from RNAcentral. RNAcentral also lists the same sequence under 1 other name.